Molecule: non-coding RNA, 109 nt
Organism: Candidatus Scalindua brodae
Lineage: Bacteria; Pseudomonadati; Planctomycetota; Candidatus Brocadiia; Candidatus Brocadiales; Candidatus Scalinduaceae
Source: Rfam
AGCUUAUCAAGAGUGGUGGAGGGAAUGGCCCUGAGAAACCACAGCAACCGAUCCUGGCGGAAUGUCAGGAUAUCGGUGCUAACUCCUACCUGCUAGGGGAAGAUAAGAU